GGGAUGACACAGUAGGAUAAGCUAAGCACACUGUUGGUUAUGUGUGCCCAAGCAUUGAGGCAGUCAAAGUAGGCAAAUCCGCUUUGAUAAUGCUGGGAUGUGAUGGGGAGCGAAAUUUAGUAGCGAAGUAGCUGAUUUCACACUGUCAAGAAAAGUCUCUAUCGAGGUUAAAGGUACCCGUACCGCAAACCGACACAGGUGGGUGAGGAGAGUAUCCUAAGGCCAGCGAGAGAACUGUUGUUAAGGAACUCGGCAAAAUGACCCCGUAACUUAGGGAUAAGGGGUGCCACCAUCAGGUGGCCGCAGAGAAUAGGCCCAAGCGACUGUUUACCAAAAACAUAGGUUUCUGCUAAGUCGCAAGACGAUGUAUAGGAGCUGACGCCUGCCCGGUGCUGGAAGGUUAAGGGGAUCUGUUAGAGCAAUCGAAGCAGUGAACUUAAGCCCCAGUAAACGGCGGCCGUAACUAUAACGGUCCUAAGGUAGCGAAAUUCCUUGUCGGGUAAGUUCCGACCCGCACGAAAGGCGUAACGAUUUGGGCACUGUCUCAACAACAGACUCGGUGAAAUUGUAAUUCCGGUGAAGAUGCCGGAUACCUGCGACAGGACGGAAAGACCCCAUGGAGCUUUACUGUAGCUUGACAUUGGGUCUUGGUACUACAUGUACAGGAUAGGUGGGAGGCUUUGAAACCAGGACGCCAGUUUUGGCGGAGCCAUCCUUGGGAUACCACCCUUGUAGUACUGGGACUCUAACCAUAGGCCAUGAAUCUGGUCUUGGGACACUGUCAGGUGGGCAGUUUGACUGGGGCGGUCGCCUCCCAAAAGG
This 822-nucleotide ribosomal RNA is filed under the name Clostridioides difficile. RNAcentral describes it as "partial 23S ribosomal RNA". It matches the Rfam family "Bacterial large subunit ribosomal RNA", at positions 1466 to 2297 of the family's 2925-position model. Lineage: Bacteria; Bacillati; Bacillota; Clostridia; Peptostreptococcales; Peptostreptococcaceae. The record is from RNAcentral.